Molecule: ribosomal RNA, 471 nt
Filed under: uncultured Pseudoalteromonas sp.
Lineage: Bacteria; Pseudomonadati; Pseudomonadota; Gammaproteobacteria; Alteromonadales; Pseudoalteromonadaceae
Description: bacterial SSU rRNA
Rfam family: Bacterial small subunit ribosomal RNA
Source: RNAcentral
GGCGGACGGGUGAGUAAUGCUUGGGAACAUGCCUUGAGGUGGGGGACAACAGUUGGAAACGACUGCUAAUACCGCAUAACGUCUACGGACCAAAGGGGGCUUCGGCUCUCGCCUUUAGAUUGGCCCAAGUGGGAUUAGCUAGUUGGUGAGGUAAUGGCUCACCAAGGCGACGAUCCCUAGCUGGUUUGAGAGGAUGAUCAGCCACACUGGGACUGAGACACGGCCCAGACUCCUACGGGAGGCAGCAGUGGGGAAUAUUGCACAAUGGGCGCAAGCCUGAUGCAGCCAUGCCGCGUGUGUGAAGAAGGCCUUCGGGUUGUAAAGCACUUUCAGUCAGGAGGAAAGGUUAGUAGUUAAUACCUGCUAGCUGUGACGUUACUGACAGAAGAAGCACCGGCUAACUCCGUGCCAGCAGCCGCGGUAAUACGGAGGGUGCGAGCGUUAAUCGGAAUUACUGGGCGUAAAGCGUAC